AUACGUAGGUGGCGAGCGUUAUCCGGAAUUACUGGGUGUAAAGGGUGUGUGGGCGGGAAGGCAAGUCGGAUGUGAAAAUUAUGGGCUCAACCCAUAAAGUGCGACCGAAACUGUUUUUCUUGAGGAUCGGAGAGGUAAUGAGAAUUCCCGGUGUAGCGGUGAAAUGCGCAGAGAUCGGGAGGAAUACCGGUGGCGAAGGCGAAUUACUGGACGAUAACUGACGCUGAGACACGAAAGCGUGGGGAGCAAACAGGAUUAGAUACCCUGGUAGUCCACGCCCUAAACGAUGAAUGCUAGGUGUAGGGGGUAUCGACCCCUUCUGUGCCGCAGUUAACACAAUAAGCAUUCCGCCUGGGGAGUACGGCCGCAAGGUUGAAACUUAAAGGAAUUGACGGGG
This 397-nucleotide ribosomal RNA is filed under the name uncultured bacterium. RNAcentral describes it as "partial 16S ribosomal RNA". It matches the Rfam family "Bacterial small subunit ribosomal RNA", at positions 523 to 918 of the family's 1533-position model. The record is from RNAcentral.